GACGAACGCUGGCGGCGUGCCUAAUGCAUGCAAGUCGAACGCUGAAGGAGGAGCUUGCUUCUCUGGAUGAGUUGCGAACGGGUGAGUAACGCGUAGGUAACCUGCCUGGUAGCGGGGGAUAACUAUUGGAAACGAUAGCUAAUACCGCAUAAGAGUAGAUGUUGCAUGACAUUUGCUUAAAAGGUGCAAUUGCAUCACUACCAGAUGGACCUGCGUUGUAUUAGCUAGUUGGUGGGGUAACGGCUCACCAAGGCGACGAUACAUAGCCGACCUGAGAGGGUGAUCGGCCACACUGGGACUGAGACACGGCCCAGACUCCUACGGGAGGCAGCAGUAGGGAAUCUUCGGCAAUGGACGGAAGUCUGACCGAGCAACGCCGCGUGAGUGAAGAAGGUUUUCGGAUCGUAAAGCUCUGUUGUAAGAGAAGAACGAGUGUGAGAGUGGAAAGUUCACACUGUGACGGUAUCUUACCAGAAAGGGACGGCUAACUACGUG
RNAcentral lists this ribosomal RNA (495 nucleotides) under uncultured bacterium. RNAcentral describes it as "partial 16S ribosomal RNA". It matches the Rfam family "Bacterial small subunit ribosomal RNA", at positions 28 to 507 of the family's 1533-position model. The record is from RNAcentral.